GUUUCUAUAGUGUAAUUUUUUAACAUAUUGCAUUUUCGUUGCAAAGCUGAAAAACUUUUUCUAGAAACU
This 69-nucleotide transfer RNA is filed under the name Austruca lactea. Its description in RNAcentral is "tRNA-Glu". The record is from RNAcentral. Lineage: Eukaryota; Metazoa; Arthropoda; Malacostraca; Decapoda; Ocypodidae.